Nicotiana sylvestris (wood tobacco) is the source of this 97-nucleotide non-coding RNA. Lineage: Eukaryota; Viridiplantae; Streptophyta; Magnoliopsida; Solanales; Solanaceae. The record is from Rfam.
UAGACAGAUUAGUGUAUUCGACUGUAUUCACGACGUGAAAUAGGGGAUUACACUGUUUUUAAAAUGGAAAGUGAAUCAAUUAACAUAAUAGACUCUU